CUAGAGGCUUUGUCAGUUGGCUCUCGUACCGCUUGGGCUCAGCUCUGUCGGGUACCGGCACCUGAAGAAGGCCAGCAACUGACUCUGUUGUUUGCUGCGUCCUCCCAGCGGAUACCCUUCCUUAUCCCUCUUCUAAAUUACUUGCGGCUCCAAGUCACCCGGAUUUACAAAUUUUAAGAGCUUCAAACACCUGCUAUUGCUUAACAAUGGAAGACGCCCAGCUGUACGUGUCUGCCAACGCCAUGCAGAAGCGCGACGCCCUCCUGGUGUUGAGCGAGUACCUGCCACAGAUGGCCUGGAGCGAAGAAGGAGAAAAUGUGCUGGACAUUGGCUGUGGCUCAGGAGACGUGACGCGAAACCUGUUGAUGCCUCUCCUGCCUCGCGUCGAGCAGGUGGUCGGCGUAGACGUUUCUAGAGACAUGGUGAGCUUCGCCUCCAAGACCUUCGAGCACAACUCUUUGUCUUUCCGCCAGCUAGACAUUGAGCGAGCCGUCCAGCCUCGCCAGGUGUUCCCCGAUGGCUUCAGUAAGGUAUUCUCCAUGUACUGCCUGCACUGGGUGAAGGACCAAGAGCGCUGCCUCACCAACAUAUAUCAGCUGCUGCAGCCCGGAGGCGAGGCGCUGCUGGUGUUCUUGGCCCGUAACCCGCUCUUCACCAUGUACGAAAACAUGAGCAUGAAGGAGCGCUGGCAGUCCUACAUGCAGGACGUGAGCAACUUCGUGCCGGUGUACCAGCACAAGACUGACCCCGCCAAGGCGAUGGCUGACCUGGCCGAGGACGUGGGCUUCGAGGUGGUGUCUUGCGAGGCGCCGGAACUUGAAUUUGUCUUCGAGAAUAUCAACUACUUGAAGAAUGCAAUCAAGGCCGUGAAUCCGUUCCUGAAGCGGGUGCCUCGCGAGGAGCAGGACGCCUUCCUGAUGGACUGCCUCAACGAGCUGGCCCGCCUCAAGACCAAGAGGAACGACGGCAAGAUGGUGGCGCGCUACUCCCUCAUGGUGGCCCACUUGCAGCGCGGGGAGUGAUUGACAGCGGCGGCUGCGGUGGUGAUGAUUGGAAGUGAUUGUGUGCAUCUCUCUCUCUCUCUCUCUCUCUCUCUCUCUCUCUCUCUCUCUCUCUCUCUCUCUCUCUCUCUCUCUCUCUCUCUCUCUCUCUCUCUCUCUCUCUCUCUCUCUCUCUCUCUCUCUCUCUCGCCAUUGACUGAAAUUGUCUUUCUUACAAAUCUCGAUGAUAAUUUUGAAAGUUUGCAUUAAUUGUACUUGUGCUAAUUGAAUGUGAACUAGAGCUCAUUCUUUCUUUCUCUUCCUCUUUCCUUCUCUCCGUUUCUUUAUUGUUUCGUGUCUCAUUCUUUCUCUAAAAAUUGACAAACAAGAAAAUUAGAAAGAAAAACACACAAAAAAACACACAAAAAGAACCAUGCCCCUCCCUCACUCCAACCUCGUAAUGGUGAAGAGAAGAGCAUUUUUCAAUGUUAUAUUUUUUCUUACUGACAAAACUGACAACCAGAAGAAAAUUAGAAGGAAAAACAAAAACUGCACAAAAAAAACAAAACAUGCCCCUCCUUCACUCCAAACUCGUAAUGGUGAAGAGCAGAGCAUUCCUGAACAAAAUCGAUCACCUCUUCAUAACUUCCUGGCCUUCUAGUAAACGUUGUGCAUGAUCCGGCGACAGAAACCAGGCAGGGUGAUGGUUGUGGUGGUGGUGGUGGUGAUGGUGAUAGGGAAUCGAACAGAGACAAAGUUGCACGUGAUUGCUUCCUACUGGUGGUGGUGGUGGUGGUGUGUGUGUGUGUGUGUGUGUGUGUGUGUGUGUGUGUGUGUGUGUGUGUGUGUGUGUGUGUGUGUGUGUGUGUGUGUGUGUGUGUGUGUGUGUGUGUGUGUGUGUGUGUGUGUACUGCUCUCUCUCUCUCUCUCUCUCUCUCUCUCUCUCUCUCUCUCUCUCUCUCUCUCUCUCUCUCUCUCUCUCUACAAUGUUCCUUUAGUCUAGUAUGUUAGUGAUACAUUGAUGCUUUGCUGAAGUCUCCUAUACUUUCUGAAGGGUACAGUCUUCGUCUUCCGCAGCGGCAUUCCUUUGUAUCAACCAGAGCGUAAAGAUAUUCUGAGGAAACUUAAAACUGAAUGUCACUUAUUUAUAGGACAUAAUUGGUAAAGGCAGAUUUUUAAUUCGUUGGUGAAAUUCGAUGUGAUUCAUGCAAACAUUUUCUUUAAAGUCAUUUACCAAAAAAAGAAAAUAGGUGUUUACAUCAGUCUAUACUAAAUGCAUCAUGUACGAGAUCUUUUGAAAUGUUAUGAAAUUGCAUUAAAUAAUUAUGUAGUUU
RNA transcript from Portunus trituberculatus (swimming crab), 2314 nucleotides. It is a transcript of the gene named juvenile hormone acid O-methyltransferase-like, with no coding region annotated. The transcript has 7 exons. Lineage: Eukaryota; Metazoa; Arthropoda; Malacostraca; Decapoda; Portunidae. The record is from RefSeq and is a predicted model, not a curated record.